AUUUAGGUUGGUGCAAAAGUAAUUGCAGUUUUUGCAAUUAAAAGUAAUGACAAAAACUGCAAUUACUUUUGCACCAACCUAAAU
Molecule: microRNA precursor, 84 nt
Filed under: Chlorocebus sabaeus (green monkey)
Lineage: Eukaryota; Metazoa; Chordata; Mammalia; Primates; Cercopithecidae
Description: mir-548 microRNA precursor family
Rfam family: mir-548 microRNA precursor family
Source: Rfam by way of RNAcentral